GGUGCAAACUCGAAGUAGAGUAGAUUAGAAGGAUCAUUUAACCCUACUAAACUACUCUACUCCGAGUUUGUGCCC
Non-coding RNA from Haemonchus placei, 75 nucleotides. The record is from Rfam. NCBI's taxonomy places the organism in Eukaryota, Metazoa, Nematoda, Chromadorea, Rhabditida, Trichostrongylidae.